This 774-nucleotide long non-coding RNA is filed under the name Trifolium pratense (red clover). RNAcentral describes it as "long non-coding RNA (TPRA_LNC002114)". The record is from RNAcentral. Lineage: Eukaryota; Viridiplantae; Streptophyta; Magnoliopsida; Fabales; Fabaceae.
CAGAAUCACUCACAAAUUGAUAUCGGUUUUCUGUAAAACACAUUUAAUCUUUUUUAGGUUGUAAAGAAGAAUUAAGUGUUAAUUAUAUCACGAGGAGGUUAUAUGAUAAGGACUCCUUUAAUUUCACAUAUUGUAGGGACAAGACUAGUCUUCAUUGGGUGAACCAGGGUAAUUCUUUUUUGUGAUCUCUCUAGCUCAACUUUUAAUCUUCGUUACAUUCAAAUCACACUACACAUACACUUGAGUACUAAUUUUGAACAUUUAUUUUGCUAAGCAUUUACAUUCUCUACACAAGAAGGUUCUCUAACAAAUUAUUGUUUUCCAAGUGCAGGAUCAGAGAAACAUAAAUAAAAUUUUGAAAUAAAAUGAAAGUAAUGAAAAUCACAUAAAAUUGAAAGGUGUAAUUUUUAACUCACAAAAACCAUCAAGGCACUGCCAAACAAUAGGAAAUUUAUAGGUAACUUUUGGACAAUCACGGACAUCAUUGCAACGAUAUUUAGCUAAGAGUGUCAAAUAAGAAAAAAGGAAAGUUACUAAGAGGUUAUAUAAAAUAUUAAGAUAGAGUAGAAAAUUUAAAAAUUUUGUGAAAAAUGAAUACUUUUAUCAGAUUCAACAAGAAUCAGGGAAAGAAAAAUUAUCAAAGUAUAAACAAACAUGAGAAUUUGAGCCAUAUUUUGCAUCCUUUCCAGUUUCCAUUACAUAAAUAAAAUAGUUGUGAACGCUUUAUAAGUAAAAUUUUGCAUACUUUAUUGAUUUUAAUUAAACAGUUUUAAG